RNAcentral lists this ribosomal RNA (440 nucleotides) under uncultured bacterium. RNAcentral describes it as "partial 16S ribosomal RNA". It matches the Rfam family "Bacterial small subunit ribosomal RNA", at positions 338 to 795 of the family's 1533-position model. The record is from RNAcentral.
CCUACGGGAGGCAGCAGUGGGGAAUAUUGCACAAUGGGGGGAACCCUGAUGCAGCAACGCCGCGUGGGUGAAGAAGUAUUUCGGUAUGUAAAGCCCUGUCAGCAGGGAAGAAAAUGACGGUACCUGACUAAGAAGCCCCGGCUAACUACGUGCCAGCAGCCGCGGUAAUACGUAGGGGGCAAGCGUUAUCCGGAUUUACUGGGUGGAAAGGGAGCGUAGGCGGCAUGGCAAACCAGAUGGGAAAUACCGGGGCUCAACCCCGGGAGUGCAUUUGGAACUGUUAAGCUGGAGUGUCGGAGAGGCAGGCGGAAUGCCUGGUGUAGCGGUGAAAUGCGUAGAUAUUAGGAGGAACACCAGUGGCGAAGGCGGCCUGCUGGACGAUGACUGACGUUGAGGCUCGAAAGCGUGGGGAGCAAACAGGAUUAGAUACCCUUGUAGUC